GGGCUGACAGGUCUGAGGCCUGAAGGACUUCCGGGAACCGCAAAGCACGGUGUGCCUCCGUUGUCCUGAUGAAAAAGCCGCGCGCGGACGACUGGCCGGCCCACGCUUGCAGCUCCCAGAAGUUGACAGGCAUCCUCCGGUGACCGGUGUGAGUAUGGUAUCAGGAUGAUAUGACUGCAAGCAACAGAAAAAUCAAACAAAAAUGGCCCAAGCCAAGAAGAGAAAUGAUUAUUUCACAUUCCAAGAAGUUUGGGAGUCGAGUGGUUAAACGGCUAAUUAAUCUAGAGCUCAACAAUAUCACCCAGGACCCAUUUUCACUAUGGUGGCUAAAGCCCUGCACCCUUCAGGCUUGCACCAUGGCAGCAGCAGUGACAGUAAAGACACCCUUACACCACAAUGCUCCAUGACCAGGAAAAGGGUCUCCUCUCUCCUGCCCCUUUCUGGAGGCUCCACCGAAGAUUUCUCUUCACAUUCCGUUUCUCAUUCCUGAAGCAGUCGCUGGCAACAGGGAUGGACUUACCGCAUUGGGUACAGAGCAAUGAAGAUUCACCACUAGCCAUCCUAAUGCGUGUGAUACACCCUGAUGAGUGUACCUCAUUGCAGUUUCGAUCUGCAUUUCCUUCAUGAUUGGUGAGGUUGAGCAUCGUUUUUGGUGCGGCCCAUCCGGAUUUCACAUGAAGGAUGUUCUAAGAAGGAACUGGAAGACUGGUG
Molecule: long non-coding RNA, 711 nt
Filed under: Pan troglodytes (chimpanzee)
Lineage: Eukaryota; Metazoa; Chordata; Mammalia; Primates; Hominidae
Description: long non-coding RNA NONPTRT006818
Source: RNAcentral